AAGAAGCAGACCGGAGGUGGUUGGGCGGGCUUUACCACCAUUAACCAAUAGCAAGUCAAACUUCCAGCCACGUGCCUGUAAAGUGGCCUAAUGAUUGGCCCUGCUCGCUGAGUCCUCCAGAAUAUAGAGCGGUUACACGCCAACCGUAAAGAUGGGCGUCAAGGAAAGACUAAGAGUCGCGCGAUGUCCUAAAUUCUUCUGAUUUUUUUCGCGACGUAGGUCGUCGGCCUAUUCUUUUCCAUUAUAGGUGAUUACAAGAUAUUGAAUACAGUCCCUACUUCUUUAUUUCUCUAGCAUUGCUUACUCCUUUCCCCCAAACCCUGAAAAAUCUUAGGCUGUCAUACGAGCAAGUCAAGAAAAAUUAGAGGGCUUCCCUGGUGGUGCAGUGGUUAAGAAUCCGCCUGUCAAUGCAGGGCACCCGGGUUGGAGCCCUGGGCCGGGAAGAUCCCACAUGCCGCGGACCAACUAAGCCCGUGGGCCACAACCACUGAGCCUGUGCUCUAGAGCCUGCGAGCCACAACUACUGAGCCUGCAUGCCACAACUACGGAAGCCCACGCGCCUAGAGUCCGUGCUCCCGCAGCAAGAGAAGCCACUGCAAUGAGAAGCCCGCGCACUGCAACGAAGAGUAGCCCCUGCUCGCCACAACUAGAGAAAGCCUGCAGGCAGCGACAAAGACCCAAGGCAGCCAAAAAUAAAAUAAAUUAAUUAAAAAAACAAAAAAGAAAAA
This is a long non-coding RNA of Balaenoptera ricei (Rice's whale), 728 nucleotides long. RefSeq lists it as uncharacterized. The record is from RefSeq and is a predicted model, not a curated record. The transcript has 2 exons. Lineage: Eukaryota; Metazoa; Chordata; Mammalia; Artiodactyla; Balaenopteridae.